Molecule: long non-coding RNA, 3849 nt
Organism: Gallus gallus (chicken)
Lineage: Eukaryota; Metazoa; Chordata; Aves; Galliformes; Phasianidae
Exons: 2
Source: RefSeq, a predicted model, not a curated record
ACAGAAUUAAUCAGUGAUUGUUUUUUUCUAAUACAUCUUUCUCAUGACCUUGGCUGAGAUUCACUUACAGCAGAUACAGCUAAAGGAGAAAGUCUUAAGUUUACAACACUUGUGCUUGAAAACUUUAUGCUAAAAGAUGUGUACAGAAAUUCAUCAAUAUCCUGUAUUUACCAUCUUGAUUUUGCACAAGUUGACUGGAUACUUUGGUUUGGUGUUGUAGACCUGGGGCCUAAUCAGCAUACUGAGCCUCUCCCAGGAAGAACAUGUGCAUUAUUAUUAUCUUGUAUCAGAAUGGUGAAAUGGUAUAGAUGUAACGUCUGUAAAGCAUAAAGUAAGAAUACACAGUAGAUGAUUCCUAUCUGAAGUUGUUACGUUGCUGUAUCUUGCCUAACCAUAUGCUGGGUAAAUUUAGCAAAGCUCACCUGGGUCAGAUGAAAAGUCAAGCUAAUUAGAGCACAAUCAGAGAAAUUAAAAGACUUGGAGAGAAGCUCCAGGGAAGUGCCCAGCAGGCUGCCUGCUGCAUGCGCCUGGGGAAGCAGCCAGGGCAUGUCUGAGAAAGAAUGAAUUCAUUUGUGCUUCAGGGGGUGGAAUGCAACUGCCAGCAAGAAACCCCACAAUCCCUGGUUGUUAGAGGGGACAGAGCAGCCAGCUGAUCACUGGAAGUGCAAAGUAGGGUGAGUGCUAGAAUGACGGAGAUUUUAUUCGCUCAGCUCCCACGCUUGUCCUGCUAUAUCUGUGCUCUGCCUCAACAGAUGGGCUGUGUAGUCUGUUCCCUUCCUGAGCUGUGCCCAGCACUCCAAAUUGGGAGUAACAAACGUGAACCAGCAGAUCUGCACCAAGUUCCACUGUGCUGUGGUCGAAGUCAGUUAUUUUAAGUUAGGGAGAGCACUGGAAGUGAUUGGUGAAAUGCUUUGAAAUAACAGGUUUACCACUGUUAAUUCACUUUAUAAUUACUGUAAUAAUAAUAAUGCCAACCUCCUUAAAUAUUAGCACUGGUGCCAGAGGUACUUGUGUAGGGGAGAUCUCGGGCUUCAGUUCUAAUUAGCUGCUUAACAGUAUACUGUCAGCGUGAGGUGUGCAUUUAAAAGAACAACAAUAGGAAUCUGAAAUGUUUGUGCUGAGAACAGAUAAAUUGGAGAGCUGAAUCUUGUUGCUCUUAAAACCUGCUGACUUCUUUUCAUCCUGUUCUUUGCCUGGUGCAGGGAACUUUCUCCCAUCCUCCAUGCAUAACUGCAUAAUUACACGGUGCCCAUACAAAACAUUGCUGGGAGGAAAAUACAGGACUGCGUAGAGGCUGUUCUGAGUGUUUUGUUUGUGACCUUUCCUUCCUUCCCAUUUUGCUAUUUUAAUUGCUGUACACCAAGUAUUGAGGUCCAAGGAGGCAGCAGAGCUGCUGCUUCAACUUAAGCUCUGCUAUUGGUAUAAAUGGAAGUUAAUGCCAGUACAGUUUUAUGAUACUUUUGAUCUGUUUUGUGAUACUUUUGAUCUGCUACACCCUUGUCCAUAGUCCUUUGCAGCACUUUUCACCAGUGUUGGCUGUUUGCAAUAUGGUAGCAUCUUGAACCUGAUCUUAAUGAUAAACUUUUAAGAUGGGAAGUGUAUUUUUGUUUUGUUUUUUAAUGAGCAGGAGAGCCCAUGUCUUUUCAGGUGAGUUUUUCAAAGCAUACUGAGCAAGAUGAGCUCAGCUUUCACUUAAAAGUCUCUGCUUCAUUCAGUCCCUGAUUUCUGCUGUCAUACCUAUUAGGACUAGUUCUUAUUAGGGCCUAAACACAGCCAGACAAGUAGGGAAUGUUGGAACACUUGUCUUUCAUAUUUUGCCCCAUAUAAAUCUAUAGGGAAAGCUCUCACUGCAGUGGAUGUGAAUAUGGCUUUGGGAACGUUAUUAGUCGGAUCUAAGAUAUCAACACAUGAUAUCUCUAGAGGCAGCUCUGCUUGUGCUCAGCCAAACAAGGGAUGCUUUUGGAAGCCAUCCCAGGAAGGAGAGUUUGCAGAAUAAGUGCAUCUAUUUUGUUUGCAGUGAUAGCCAGGUAGCAAGUGUUUCUUCUUGGCAGUGAUUCAUAAAGUUUUGACAUGGAUGCCACUUGGGGUAGGGAUGUGAUGGUUUCAUGGGAUGCUAAAGAGAAUAAUUCUGACCUACGGAAGAGGAGUGAGAGAAGGAGAAUCUUAAUGGCAGGAAAUACAUCCUCAUAAUAGGGCUUUUUAGGCUCAGCUACUGUCUUUGAUAGGAAAUGGUGGCAGUUCCAUUCUGUGAGUAAUUUAGCACUGGAUAAAGGGAAGGAACAAUCCCUGUAAGGAUAUGGAGGGGUGAGAACACCCAUCAAGCCAUUUAAUCUUUUCUUGCUUUGCUUGAUUGUUUGUCUUUUUUUUUUUAAAUGUAAACAGCAUCAUUUUGUUUUCCUUUCUAAGUAUUUGUGCCUUUUUGUUCUAUUUGGUAGAUGUGAGUGCUGUUAGCAGCAAGAGCCUUUGAAGGUGCAGAGUAUGCAUGUCUCACAUGGAUGUCCAUUUUGUCAGGCUCUGCGUGCUGGCUUCUAUAAUCCUUCCCAGAGGUUAUCCUUCCACAAGUGGAUGCUCAUGUCUAGUAUCAGCUUUGUCUUCAUCAGGCCUGAGCUAUGUCACGUUACCCUUUAUUUUUUGUUUUCUGUUUUGCACCAAAGUGAGCCAUCACAUCAUUCUCCAUAUCUUCUUUGGGCAGCAGCACUCUCUGAAGCAAACAAUUUGUCUGUACCUAUAGUCAGGUGAAGGGGGAGGGCGUGCAAACAGAAAGUAGAAGUUGAAGGUUUGCUGCUGACACACUUCCUGUCCUCAGGAGUGGUUUCCAAACACUCCUCAGAAAGGUGUAUGCCUGGUUGCUGAGCAAGGUGGUGUGACUCAUUAGCCAGAAGUUCAGCUGAGUGUCAAGCUUGCAGUUUGCAGCAAGGGUGUGUGCUGGAGGAUAGCACGAUGGUGAGGGCAAGUACAUUCUACAGUAAUAGAGGAGUGAGCAACAGAGCAGUGUUUUCCCAUUGCAGAGAUUAGGAAACGAGGAAGGCAGCCAAAAAUGCCACAGUCAUCAUGUUAGAGCUUAAUGUUUUGAUAAUGUUUUGAAAGGAUAUGGGUUCUCUGUAGGUUCGGAGCUCAGGUCUUGCUCUCACAGUGCAGCCCAGUAGCCGAACUGAAAGCCAUUGGCUCAGCUAGCCAAAUGGGGUUGUCUCUUCACAGAGACCAGCUAACAAAGGUAGGGCACACAUCUCUCUGCCACACUAUAGUUAAUGCCUAGGCCAUCAGGGAUACUUGUGGUGCUUAUAACAUCAUAUUAUAAGGGUGAAGGUUCAGUGUGUCCCAUUGCAAAGGGCGUCUCCUACAGAAUCACUGUGUCAGUGUCAGAUUUGUGUCUGAGUAAAGCUUCAUUGUAGCCUAAAAUAACAAAUGGAACUUGGUAAGGUCACAGUCUCAAGCAGGGAUAUGGUUGCAUACAUUUCUCUGCUUUUGUUUUAACAGGGAGCCUGCACAAGAUUUGUUUGGUAUCUGAGCAACCAGUUUCUAAAGCAUCAAAUGCCAAGCAGUCGGCAGGAAAGAGUUCUUUCGAUUCUGGAACAAAAGACUUCCGAAUCCUAUUGCAGCUCAAUACCCGAGCUUUGGCACAGUGCAACACCACUUCUCCAUGCAUGAGCUGCAAAUGCUGAAAAGGAGUGGGAGAAAGCAUGGGAGCACUAGCAGAUGGUUUUGUAGGAAAGGACGUUCAGAACUCAGCUGCUCAAGGGACUCGAUUCUCUCGCUUACAGUGAGUUAGAAAUUACUUAUAAUUUUAAGCUUUGUCCUAAAAUUCUGCUUUGAACAUUUGACGCUGCAUUAAAAAAUAUAAAUGUGAAA